GGCGCCAUCGUCUAGGGGCCUAGGACAUCGGGCUCUCAAUCCGGAAACACGGGUUCAAAUCCCGUUGGCGCUA
This 73-nucleotide transfer RNA is filed under the name bacterium. RNAcentral describes it as "tRNA-Glu". It matches the Rfam family "tRNA". From Rfam's summary of the family: Transfer RNA (tRNA) molecules are approximately 80 nucleotides in length. Their secondary structure includes four short double-helical elements and three loops (D, anti-codon, and T loops). The record is from RNAcentral.